RNAcentral lists this unclassified non-coding RNA (652 nucleotides) under Hevea brasiliensis (rubber tree). The record is from RNAcentral. Lineage: Eukaryota; Viridiplantae; Streptophyta; Magnoliopsida; Malpighiales; Euphorbiaceae.
UGGGCUUCGUUUAGGUAUGAUCGUAUUGGCGGCAGCUCACAAGCACUCGGGAUCGAGUUUUUAGGCCAGUCAGAGCGCUAUGUGGGUUGUCCCGAAAAAUUGUUGUGUUUAUAGUUAUUUCCAACAUUUUCAGACAUUUCAAACACGUUCCAAAGAGCAAAAUUCACAAAGGUAAUCCUAAACUCAAGUUAUAUAAUUUUUACCUAGGAUAAAGCUAGCUAAUUAAUUUGUGAAAUUUUCCUAGCAUGUUAAAAAUAAUUGAAAUAAUAUGUAUGGGCUUUAAGAUGAUGUGAAGGAAUUUCAGGAAUAUUUUUGGAAUUUUUGGAAGGUAUUUGAUAAUUAAUUGGACAGUAGUGAAGUAUAUGGACCUGAAUUAGAUAUGGAGAAUUGAAUCUAGAUUAGGUUUCUUGUAUGCCCCAGAUGGGCAUAGUAUUUGUUGUUGUAGGCCUGAGGCCCUGAGUGCUACAUUUUGAUAUGUUUUCUUGCAGAAGGUUAGGUCCAGUUAUAGGAAAGUUUCUGCCAAAAUUUUAGCAAGAACCUAGGAAUAAUUCUUGCUUCUUUAGUUUAAAUUAAUUAAUCAUAUUGUCAGUAAAUUGAUGGAUGUAAGUGUGUCUGUAUUGGUGUUUGGUGCCAGCCAUUUUUCUUUCUUUCA